GAUUGAGCCUCAUGGCUCUGCUACUGGGAAGCGUGGGCGUAAGACUCCUCGAGAGUCAGAUACUCUCGAGGAGCGAGAAAGAAAGAGGCUGCGAGAUAUCUUUGCAGAACCAUCUGACGAGGAUUCUUUUGAGGGGUUUACAGAGAGAAUGGAGGAAGAGGUGGUGAGCUCGGAAGAGGAUGAGAUGGAUUGGACUCGGGUAAGGGAGGAAUUGGGUGCCACUGGCAAUGAUGGGAUGGAAGAUGAUUGGGGACCUUCAGGACUAGACCCAUGGACAAGCUGGAGGGAUGGGACGGGAUCCACAGCUGGGGAUGCUGUGGGGCGUAGUCAGAGGUGUUCCAGCUCUGAUGAGGAAAGUGAUGAGGAAACGCCCGGGUUAAGGAGGGCAGCUGAUAGUGAUGAGGAUUUGUAACUGGCAUAAAAUGGGGUUUGGGAGCAAUUGCAAAUUGCGUUGGGCAAGGUAAUCUGGACGAACGCUUGGGAUCUGUGUGGGACGUUUUCCUGAAGACGGGUGUGUUUCGUGUGCUGACUACCUUUGACCUUCCGUCGUCUUCUUGACGGACGCCAUCUGCUACUCUGGAUUUACGGACUGAACUGACUACGGGCUC
This is a long non-coding RNA of Anolis carolinensis (green anole), 608 nucleotides long. RefSeq lists it as uncharacterized. The record is from RefSeq and is a predicted model, not a curated record. The transcript has 2 exons. Lineage: Eukaryota; Metazoa; Chordata; Lepidosauria; Squamata; Anolidae.